Aotus nancymaae (Ma's night monkey) is the source of this 136-nucleotide unclassified non-coding RNA. NCBI's taxonomy places the organism in Eukaryota, Metazoa, Chordata, Mammalia, Primates, Aotidae. The record is from Ensembl.
AAGCUCCGGCGACUGCUCUUUGCUCCAAGUAAUUUUUGGUGAUUUUUAAAGUAAUUUUUCCGGUGGAGUCCUAGUGGCGCUAUACUCUCGGACAGGUUAGCCUGUCUCUCCCGCUAGAUUGAUGAGAUCAGGCAUC